AAGUAACUCCCCUGUUCUUGAGCAGGGUGCUACUCAACCCGUGUAUACCUUACUUUGUUGCUUUGGCAAGCCGCUUUCGAGCGUUGGCUCCGGCUGACAGCGCUUGCCAGAGGACCCAAACUCUUUUGUUUUAGUGAUGUCUGAGUACUAUAUAAUAGUUA
Molecule: unclassified non-coding RNA, 161 nt
Filed under: uncultured Rhizoscyphus
Lineage: Eukaryota; Fungi; Ascomycota; Leotiomycetes; Helotiales; Helotiaceae
Description: sequence contains ITS1
Source: RNAcentral